UACGUAGGGGGCGAGCGUUAUCCGGAAUUACUGGGCGUAAAGCGCACGCAGGCGGUUCGCCAAGUUUGGAGUGACAGUUGGCGGCUUAACCGACAAAGGACUUCAAAAACUGGUGAACUUGAGGACGAGAGAGGAACAUGGAACUCCAGGUGUAGUAGUGAAAUGCGUAGAUAUCUGGAAGAACACCAAUGGCGAAGGCAAUGUUCUGGCUCGUUUCUGACGCUCAGGUGCGAAAGCCAGGGGAGCGAACGGG
RNAcentral lists this ribosomal RNA (253 nucleotides) under uncultured bacterium. RNAcentral's name for it is "partial 16S ribosomal RNA". It matches the Rfam family "Bacterial small subunit ribosomal RNA", at positions 524 to 776 of the family's 1533-position model. The record is from RNAcentral.